RNAcentral lists this ribosomal RNA (752 nucleotides) under uncultured Serratia sp. RNAcentral describes it as "bacterial SSU rRNA". It matches the Rfam family "Bacterial small subunit ribosomal RNA", at positions 47 to 788 of the family's 1533-position model. Lineage: Bacteria; Pseudomonadati; Pseudomonadota; Gammaproteobacteria; Enterobacterales; Yersiniaceae. The record is from RNAcentral.
CUUAACACAUGCAAGUCGAGCGGUAGCACAAGGGAGCUUGCUCCCUGGGUGACGAGCGGCGGACGGGUGAGUAAUGUCUGGGAAACUGCCUGAUGGAGGGGGAUAACUACUGGAAACGGUAGCUAAUACCGCAUAACGUCGCAAGACCAAAGAGGGGGACCUUCGGGCCUCUUGCCAUCAGAUGUGCCCAGAUGGGAUUAGCUAGUAGGUGGGGUAAUGGCUCACCUAGGCGACGAUCCCUAGCUGGUCUGAGAGGAUGACCAGCCGCACUGGAACUGAGACACGGUCCAGACUCCUACGGGAGGCAGCAGUGGGGAAUAUUGCACAAUGGGCGCAAGCCUGACGCAGCCAUGCCGCGUGUGUGAAGAAGGCCUUCGGGUUGUAAAGCACUUUCAGCGAGGAGGAAGGUGGUGAACUUAAUACGUUCAUCAAUUGACGUUACUCGCAGAAGAAGCACCGGCUAACUCCGUGCCAGCAGCCGCGGUAAUACGGAGGGUGCAAGCGUUAAUCGGAAUUACUGGGCGUAAAGCGCACGCAGGCGGUUUGUUAAGUCAGAUGUGAAAUCCCCGGGCUCAACCUGGGAACUGCAUUUGAAACUGGCAAGCUAGAGUCUCGUAGAGGGGGGUAGAAUUCCAGGUGUAACGGUGAAAUGCCUAGAGAUCUGGAGGAAUACCGGUGGCGAAGGCGGGCCCCUGGACGGAAACUGACCCUCAGGUGCGAAAGCAUGGGGAGCCAACAGGAUUAGAUACCCU